AUUGGAAACGAUUGCUAAUACCCUAUAUGCUUCCGAGUAAAAUAGUUUUUUGCCUGGAGAGGGGCUUGUGCCUGAUUAGCUAGUUGGUUAGGUAAUGGCUAACCAAGGCGACGAUCAGUAGCUGGCUUGAGAGGGCGACCAGCCACACUGGGACUGAGACACGGCCCAGACUCCUACGGGAGGCAGCAGUGAGGAAUUUUCCGCAAUGAGCGAAAGCUUGACGGAGCAAUACCGCGUGGAGGACGAAGGCUCAUGGGUCGUAAACUCCUUUUCUUAGGGAAGAAUUUUGACGGUACCUAAGGAAUAAGCAUCGGCUAAUUCCGUGCCAGCAGCCGCGGUAAGACGGGAGAUGCAAGCGUUAUUCGGAUUUUAUUGGGCGUAAAGGGUCUGUAGGUUGUUGGUUAAGUCUAUGGUCAAAUUCCGAAGCUCAACUUCGGGCCCGGCACUAGAAACUAAUCAACUUGAGUACGUUAGAGGCAGGGGGAAUUCCCCAGUGUAGCGGUGAAAUGCGUAGAUAUUGGGAGG
RNAcentral lists this ribosomal RNA (525 nucleotides) under uncultured bacterium. RNAcentral's name for it is "bacterial SSU rRNA". It matches the Rfam family "Bacterial small subunit ribosomal RNA", at positions 149 to 704 of the family's 1533-position model. The record is from RNAcentral.